Artibeus jamaicensis (Jamaican fruit-eating bat) is the source of this 150-nucleotide small nucleolar RNA. RefSeq annotates it as small nucleolar RNA SNORA57. Lineage: Eukaryota; Metazoa; Chordata; Mammalia; Chiroptera; Phyllostomidae. The transcript has a single exon. The record is from RefSeq and is a predicted model, not a curated record.
CCUCCUCUUCUUGGUGGGGGGUCAGGCAAGUGGUCCUGGUCCCCGCAAUGUACGGAGGCAGAGAGAAAGGGCUCCAGCUCCCUCGGCAUCAUGUCUGUGGUGCCAAAGGUUUCCAGUUUGCUGGUUCUAUCCUCAAACACCAGGACACUG